ACAUAAUCAAUUAAUCAUUUAUAAAAUUAAAUAAAUGAAAAAAAAUUACAAAACCCAUAAAAUUCAUAAAUCUUCAUCUUCUACACAAGCCGAGAAAAUCAUCUUCAACAUCCACAAACUCAUCUUCAAACAAACCCAAAAAAUCAUCUUCAACCACAAACAAAGCACUCUGGUUGAAUUGAACAACAAUGAUUUCAUCCAAACCUAAUGAAUAAAAUCAUAAACAACAAUAAUAACAUAAACACAAAACCAAAUCGGAACAAAUAUAAAAAACGGAACAAUAGCAGCUAAAACAUGUUGACUCCCACAAGCUACAGUCCCAACCUUAAUCUGCAUAACUUCACUAGAGCAAGCAUAAGAAACCCACACCCUAAAACAGAUCCAAUCCUAGAAACAAGCAUCCCAACUCUCAAAGAGUAUUGAACAGCGACGACGAGGUUUUCGACGAUGUCGGUGGUGGGGAUGCAAGACGGGUUUGUGUUGAGAGUGUUGAAGGGGUCGUUUGGGUUGAAGGAAAGGUCGAUGAAUAUGCUGAGAGUGAAGAGGGAGUUUACGUUUGUGAUUAUGGCUUUUAUGUGCACAUGAUAUUCCCUCUUCUUCUUCAACCCCUCGUCUUAAUUCAUUCGUUGUCUUUCCAUUAACACGUUAAUUUUUCAAUCCUUAAUUAAACCAAUGGGUGCAGCUUCAAUGAUUUGUGAUUUGGUUGUGGGUUUGCAGCAGUUUCUGAUGCCUAGUUUAAUGAGGAAAGAAGGAUUGGGAGAGAAUAAGGGUGUGAUAUGUUUUGAGUUUGAUAGAGGAUGAAGUAGAGAGAGGAAUUUAAGUGUUUGAUUUGUAAGGGCUU
RNAcentral lists this long non-coding RNA (841 nucleotides) under Medicago truncatula (barrel medic). RNAcentral describes it as "long non-coding RNA (MTRU_LNC001604)". The record is from RNAcentral. Lineage: Eukaryota; Viridiplantae; Streptophyta; Magnoliopsida; Fabales; Fabaceae.